RNAcentral lists this long non-coding RNA (377 nucleotides) under Nicotiana benthamiana. RNAcentral describes it as "long non-coding RNA (NBEN_LNC038364)". Lineage: Eukaryota; Viridiplantae; Streptophyta; Magnoliopsida; Solanales; Solanaceae. The record is from RNAcentral.
ACAAUAUAAAUAGCUCAAGCCCCUCACCUGCACAUGUUAAGGCAUGAAAAGUGAAUCGUUUGAAAGCUCCAAAUUUGGAAGUUGAGAACUGGGAAACAAUGAGAAAAACUAGAGACCACAGAAGGGGAGUCUUGGCGUAAUUGGUAAAGUUGCUGUCAUGUGAUUAGGAAGUCACGGGUUUGAGCCGUGAAAACAACUUCUAGCAGAAAUGCAGGGUAACGCUGCGUAGGAUAGACCGUUGUGGUCUGACCCUUCUCCAGACCCCGCACAUAACGAGAGCUUAGUACAUCGAGUUGCCGUUUUGUUGGUUUGGGUGGAAUUUGAAGGACUUUUUUCAUUUUCUGGUCCAAAAGGAGAGUUGUUUAUUUUCCUUAUUU